RNAcentral lists this ribosomal RNA (271 nucleotides) under uncultured archaeon. RNAcentral's name for it is "partial 16S ribosomal RNA". It matches the Rfam family "Archaeal small subunit ribosomal RNA", at positions 477 to 747 of the family's 1478-position model. The record is from RNAcentral.
CAGCGCCACGAGUGGGGAUCAUGUUUAUUGGGCCUAAAGCGUCCGUAGCCGGUUUGAUAAAUCUUUUGUGAAAUUGUCGUGCUUAACAUGACAGCGUGCAAAAGACACUAUUUAACUUGGAACUGGGAGGAGUCAGAGGUAUUCUAGGGGGAGCGGUAAAAUGUUAUAAUCUCUAGAGGACCACCUGUGGCGAAGGCAUCUGACCAGAACGGAUCUGACGGUGAGGGACGAAAGCUAGGGGAGCGAUCCGGAUUAGAUACCCGAGUAGUCC